Molecule: ribosomal RNA, 253 nt
Filed under: uncultured bacterium
Lineage: Bacteria
Description: partial 16S ribosomal RNA
Rfam family: Bacterial small subunit ribosomal RNA
Source: RNAcentral
UACGGAGGGCGCAAGCGUUUUUCGGAAUCACUGGGCGUAAAGCGCGUGUAGGCGGCUUGGCAAGUCGGGUGUGAAAUCCCGAGGUUCAACCUCGGAAAUGCACUCGAAACUGCCUGGCUCGAGUCCCGGAGAGGGUGGCGGAAUUCCCGGUGUAGGGGUGAAAUCCGUAGAUAUCGGGAGGAACACCAGUGGCGAAGGCGGCCACCUGGACGGUGACUGACGCUGAGACGCGAAAGCGUGGGGAGCAAACAGG